This 644-nucleotide small RNA is filed under the name Pongo abelii (Sumatran orangutan). Its description in RNAcentral is "retained intron". The record is from RNAcentral. Lineage: Eukaryota; Metazoa; Chordata; Mammalia; Primates; Hominidae.
CUCAUGCCUGCUUGCCUUCCAGGGAAGUACACAGGCGGGCACCUCACUGCCACCAACCUGGCGCUGAGUGCCCUGAACCUGGCAGAGUGUGCAGGGGAUGCCGUGUCUGUGGCGACGCUGGCCGAGAUCUAUGUGGCAGCUGCAUUGAGAGUGAAGACCAGUCUCCCACGGGCCUUGCAUUUUCUGACGCGCUUCUUCCUGAGCAGUGCCCGCCAGGCCUGCCUGGCACAGAGUGGCUCAGUGCCUCCUGCCAUGCAGUGGCUCUGCCACCCCGUGGGCCACCGUUUCUUCGUGGAUGGGGACUGGGCCGUGCUCAGUACCCCACGGGAGAGCCUGUACAGCUUGGCCGGGAACCCAGUGGACCCCCUGGCCCAGGUGACUCAGCUAUUCCGGGAACAUCUCUUGGAGCGAGCACUGAACUGUGUGACCCAGCCCAGCCCCAGCCCUGGGUCAGCUGAUGGGGACAAGGAAUUCUCGGAUGCCCUCGGGUACCUGCAGCUGCUGAACAGCUGUUCUGAUGCUGCGGGGGCUCCUGCCUGCAGCUUCUCCAUCAGUUCCAGCAUGGCCACCACCACCGGAGACCCCUGCCCAGGGCAGCUCUGCACUCCUUCAAGGCUGCCUGGGCCCUGCUGGGCUGUGCCAAG